AUUAAAUCUAUGAAUGAGAGUAGUAAUCUUUUUAGAUGCGUCACAGAGAGCCGGAAUAGGUGGAAACCGGUACGAUAUAAGAAGAUGAAUGGACUUAUGAGUGGUUUCUUGAAAAUAAGUAGGGAAACUCGGCUGCCACCGUUAAAGGGUAAUCGCAAGAAUUCAAUUCUUGCUUGAGAGGGAAAAAUGAUGCAUUUUUUCAACUUGAGGUGGCACCGCGGUAUACCGUCCUCUGC
Bacillus sp. FJAT-22058 is the source of this 236-nucleotide non-coding RNA. The record is from Rfam. Lineage: Bacteria; Bacillati; Bacillota; Bacilli; Caryophanales; Bacillaceae.